Molecule: non-coding RNA, 45 nt
Organism: Schistosoma mansoni
Lineage: Eukaryota; Metazoa; Platyhelminthes; Trematoda; Strigeidida; Schistosomatidae
Source: Rfam
GUCCUGCUGACGAGUCCGAAAUAGGAAGAAACGCGAAUCCUGGAC